Molecule: ribosomal RNA, 465 nt
Filed under: uncultured bacterium
Lineage: Bacteria
Description: partial 16S ribosomal RNA
Rfam family: Bacterial small subunit ribosomal RNA
Source: RNAcentral
CCUACGGGUGGCAGCAGUAGGGAAUCUUCCACAAUGGGCGAAAGCCUGAUGCAGCAACGCCGCGUGGGUGAAGAAGGUCUUCGGAUCGUAAAACCCUGUUGUCAGAGAAGAAAGUGCGUGAGAGUAACUGUUCACGUUUCGACGGUAUCUAACCAGAAAGCGACGGCUAACUACGUGGCAGCAGCCGCGGUAAUACGUAGGGGGGAAGCGUUAUCCGGAUUUAUUGGGCGUAAAGGGAGCGCAGGCGGUCUUUUAAGUCUGAUGUGAAAGCCUUCGGCUUAACCGGGGUAGUGCAUUGGAAACUGGGGGACUUGAGUGCAGAAGGGGAGAGUGGAACUCCAAGUGUAGCGGUGAAAUGCGUAGAUAUAAGGAGGAACACCAGUGGCGAAGGCGGCUCUCUGGUCUGUAACUGACGCUGAGGUUCGAAAGCGUGGGUAGCAAACAGGAUUAGAUACCCGGGUAGUC